RNAcentral lists this ribosomal RNA (460 nucleotides) under uncultured bacterium. RNAcentral's name for it is "bacterial SSU rRNA". It matches the Rfam family "Bacterial small subunit ribosomal RNA", at positions 28 to 507 of the family's 1533-position model. The record is from RNAcentral.
GAUGAACGCUGGCGGCGUGCUUAAUACAUGCAAGUCGAACGGAGACAGUAGCAAUAUUGUCUUAGUGGCGAACGGGUGAGUAACGCGUUGGUGACCUGCCCCGAAGAGGGGGAUAACAGUCCGAAAGGAUUGCUAAUACCCCAUGUGGUCGUUUGGAUUAGAUGCCUUAUGACUAAACGGAUUUAUUCGCUUCGGGAGGGGCCUGCGUCCCAUCAGCUAGUUGGUAAGGUAAUGGCUUACCAAGGCGAUGACGGGUAGGGGACCUGAGAGGGUGGCCCCCCACAAUGGAACUGAAACACGGUCCAUACACCUACGGGUGGCAGCAGUAGGGAAUAUUGGUAAUCUGGGAAACCGGGAACCAGCAACGCCGCGUGCGCGAUGAAGGCCUUCGGGUUGUAAAGCGCUUUUGAGGGGAUGAGGAAGGACGGUACCCUCAGAAUAAGCCUCGGCUAACUACGUG